GAUGAACGCUGGCGGCGUGCCUAAUACAUGCAAGUCGAGCGAUGGGACGAGAAGCUUGCCUCUCUGAUGUUAGCGGCGGACGGGUGUGUAGCACGUGGAUAACCUACCUAUAAGACUGGGAUCACUUCGAGAAACCAGCUCUUAUCGCAUGAAAUCUGUUAAACCGCAUUAAUCAAAAGUGAGAGACGGUCUUGCUGUUACUUGUAGAUGGAUCCGCGCUGCAUUAGCUAGUUGGGAAGGUAACGGCUUACCAAGGCAACGAUGCAUAGCCGACCUGAGAGGGUGAUCGGCCACCCUGGAACUGAGACACGGUCCAGACUCCUACGGGAGGAACCAGUAGGGAAUCUUCCGCAAUGGGGGAAAGCCUGACGGAGCACCGCCGCGUGAGUGAUGAAGGUCUUCGGAUCGAAAAACUCUGUUAUUAGGGAAGACCAUAUGUGUAAGUGACUGUGCACAUCUUGACGGUACCUAAUCAGAAAGCCACGGCUAACUACGUG
RNAcentral lists this ribosomal RNA (497 nucleotides) under uncultured bacterium. Its description in RNAcentral is "partial 16S ribosomal RNA". It matches the Rfam family "Bacterial small subunit ribosomal RNA", at positions 28 to 507 of the family's 1533-position model. The record is from RNAcentral.